RNAcentral lists this long non-coding RNA (1193 nucleotides) under Macaca mulatta (Rhesus monkey). Its description in RNAcentral is "lncRNA (ENSMMUG00000050648.1)". The record is from RNAcentral. Lineage: Eukaryota; Metazoa; Chordata; Mammalia; Primates; Cercopithecidae.
UUUUUUUUUGACCUUGAAUGGUUUUUACUCUUCUCCUACCGAAUUCACAUUCCUCCUUGGAUAUCCUCUAAUACAAACACUGAGAUAAAAAGUUAAUUAUCAUUAAUGCAUUUUACUUUAAAAGAUAAAAGCAAAAGAGAGGAAUUAAACACAAAUAUUUGAUGAAUAUAUAAGGUCAUGAUGUAACUUGGAAUGAUUUGUGACUCCCCAUACGUACCAGAAAUGUCUGGAUUGACAGCCAUGUGUAAUUCCCUGCCCAGUUGCAUGCCUCUGUCUGUUGACACACCUGACACUUGCCUUGGUCAUGACAAGUGUGAAAAUGUAUAGUAUAGAGCCUACAACAGGGAUUCAUCAGUUCACCAAGCUGCAGAGGAGACUGGGAAUUACCCACAUCAAAACCAAGGUCAGGACUACAUCUGCUUCAUAAGGCUGCCCAUUUCAAUAUUUUGUUUGGUUUUUGUUGUUGUUGUUGUUUGUUCUUUGUAGAGAUGGGGUCUUGUUAUGUUGCCCAGGCUAUUCUCAAACACCUGGGCUCAACUAAUCCUCCUGCUCCAGCCUCCCAAAGUGCUGGGAUUACAGGCGAGAGCCUCCACACCCAGUCCAUUCGAAUGUUUUGAUAAUUAGUUGCUUCUGAAUGUUAUUGAUCAUAACAAUCAUAGAAACCAUUUAUUAAGUGCCUUCAUCAGAGGCAUUUGGGCCAAAGCAACUGUAUCUUGAAUUGAAACUGGGUAAAAUAAGGCUGAGACCUACUGGGCUGCAUUCCCAGACGAUUAAGGCAUUCUAUGUCACAGGAUGAGAUAGGAGGUCGACACAAGACCCAGGUCAUAAAGACCUUGCUGAUAGAAACAGUUUCCAGUAAGAAAGCUGGCUAAAACCCACCAAAACCAAGAUGGCCAAGAGAGUGACCUCUAGUUGUCCCCCACUACACUCCCAUCAGCACCAUGACAAUUUACAAAUGCCAUGGCAACGUCAGGAAGUUACCCUAUAUGGUCUAAAAGGGGGAGGCAUGAAUAAUCCACCCCUUGUUUAGCAUAUCAUCAAGAAAUAACCUUAAAAAUGGGCAACCAGCAGCCUUCGGGGCUGCUCUAGGGAGUCGCCAUUCUUUUGUUCCUUUGCUUUCCUAAUCAACUUGCUUUCACUUUACUCUUCGGACUCACCCUGAAUUCUUUCCUGCCCGCCAUCCAAGAACCCUC